ACUGCUCAGUAACACGUGGAUAACAUGCCCUGAAGUGGGGGAUAAUCUCGGGAAAUUGAGGAUAAUACUCCAUAGAUCAUAGGUUCUGGAAUGACUUAUGGUCGAAAGUUCCGGCGCUUCAGGAUUGGUCUGCGGCCUAUCAGGUCGUAGUGGGUGUAACGGACCCACUAGCCGACGACGGGUAUGGGCCUUGAGAGAGGGAGCCCAGAGAUGGAUUCUGAGACACGAAUCCAGGCCCUACGGGGCGCAGCAGUCGCGAAAACUUCACACUGGAGGCAACUCCGAUGAGGGAAUUCCUAGUGCUAGCACAUUAGUGCUAGCUUUUCUUAAGCGUAGAUAACUUAAGGAAUAAGGGCUGGGUAAGACGGGUGCCAGCCGCCGCGGUAAUACCCGCAGCCCAAGUGGUGGUCGAUUUUAUUGAGUCUAAAACGUUCGUAGCCGGUCUGAUAAAUCCCUGGGUAAAUCGGGUGGCUUAACCAUCCGAAUUCCGGGGAGACUGUCAGGCUUGGGAUCGGGAGAGGUAUGAGGUACUUCAGGGGUAGGGGUAAAAUCCUGUAAUCCUUGGAGGACCACCGGUGGCGAAGGCGUCAUACUAGAACGAAUCCGACGGUGAGGGACGAAGCCCUAGGUCGCAAACGGGAUUAGAUACCCCGGUAGUCUAGGGUGUAAACGCUGCAGACUAGGUGUUGGAGGCCCUACGGGGGCACCCAGUGCCCGAGAGAAGUUGUUAAGUCUGCUACUUGGGGAGUACGUCCGCAAGGAUGAAACUUAAAGGAAUUGGCGGGGGAGCAC
This 792-nucleotide ribosomal RNA is filed under the name uncultured archaeon. Its description in RNAcentral is "bacterial SSU rRNA". It matches the Rfam family "Archaeal small subunit ribosomal RNA", at positions 85 to 879 of the family's 1478-position model. The record is from RNAcentral.